RNAcentral lists this ribosomal RNA (506 nucleotides) under uncultured bacterium. RNAcentral's name for it is "partial 16S ribosomal RNA". It matches the Rfam family "Bacterial small subunit ribosomal RNA", at positions 28 to 523 of the family's 1533-position model. The record is from RNAcentral.
GAUGAACGCUAGCUACAGGCUUAACACAUGCAAGUCGAGGGGUAACGAGAGGAAAGCUUGCUUUCCUUGUUGACGACCGGCGCACGGGUGAGUAACGCGUAUCCAACCUGCCCCCAACUAGGGAAUAACCUUGCGAAAGUAUGACUAAUACCCUAUAAUUUCCUCAGAUGUCAUCUGACGAGGAAUAAAGAUUUAUCGGUUGUGGAUGGGGAUGCGUCUGAUUAGCUUGUUGGCGGGGUAACGGCCCACCAAGGCAACGAUCAGUAGGGGGUCUGAGAGGAAGGUCCCCCACAUUGGAACUGAGACACGGUCCAAACUCCUAAGGGAGGCAGCAGUGAGGAAUAUUGGUCAAUGGGCGGAAGCCUGAACCGGCCAAGUAGCGUGGCGGAUGGCGGCCCUAUGGGUUGUAAACUGCUUUUAUACAGGAAUAAAGUUAGCCACGUGUGGUUAUUUGUAGGUACUGUAGGAAUAUGGACCGGCUAAGUCCGUGCCAGCAGCCGCGGUAA